GAGUUUGAUCAUGGCUCAGAACGUACGCUGGCGGCACGCCUAAUACAUGCAAGUCGAACGAAGUAGCAAUACUUAGUGGCAGACGGGUGAGUAACAUGUGGGUAUCUUCCCUUUGGUGAGGAAUAACACGAGGAAACUUGUGCUAAUACCGGAUAAGUCUUUACGGAGAAAGCUUUAUGCACCAUUGGAUGAGCCUGCACUUGAUUAGUUUGUUGGUGGGGUAAUGGCCUACCAAGACUGUGAUCAAUAGCUGAUUUGAGAGGAUGAUCAGCCACAUUGGGACUGAGACACGGCCCAAACUCCUACGGGAGGCAGCAGUGGGGGAUCUUGCACAAUGGAGGAAACUCUGAUGCAGCGAUGCCGCGUGAGUGAAGAAGGCCCUUGGGUUGUAAAGCUCUUUCGUCGGGGAAGAAAAUGACUGUACCCGAAUAAGAAGGUCCGGCUAACUUCGUGCCAGCAGCCGCGGUAAUACGAAGGGACCUAGCGUAGUUCGGAAUUACUGGGCUUAAAGAGUUCGUAGGUGGUUGAAAAAGUUAGUGGUGAAAUCCCAGAGCUUAACUCUGGAACUGCCAUUAAAACUUUUCAGCUAGAGUAUGAUAGAGGAAAGCAGAAUUUCUAGUGUAGAGGUGAAAUUCGUAGAUAUUAGAAAGAAUACCAAUUGCGAAGGCAGCUUUCUGGAUCAUUACUGACACUGAGGAACGAAAGCAUGGGUAGCGAAGAGGAUUAGAUACCCUCGUAGUCCAUGCCGUAAACGAUGUGUGUUAGACGUUGGAAAUUUAUUUUCAGUGUCGCAGGGAAACCGAUAAACACACCGCCUGGGGAGUACGACCGCAAGGUUAAAACUCAAAUGAAUUGACGGGGACCCGCACAAGUAGUGGAGCAUGUGGUUUAAUUCGAAGAUACGCGCAGAACCUUACCAACACUUGACAUGUUCGUCGCGACUUUAAGAGAUUAAAGUUUUCGGUUCGGCCGGACGAAACACAGGUGCUGCAUGGCUGUCGUCAGCUCGUGUCGUGAGAUGUUGGGUUAAGUCCCGCAACGAGCGCAACCCUCACUUUUAGUUGCCAUCAUUUAGUUGGGCACUCUGAAAGAACUGCCAGUGAUAAGCUGGAGGAAGGUGGGGAUGACGUCAAGUCCUCAUGGCCCUUACGUGUUGGGCUACACACGUGCUACAAUGGUAUCUACAACAGGAAGCAAGACGGCGACGUUAAGCAAAUCCUUAAAAGAUACCUCAGUUCGGAUUGCACUCUGCAACUCGAGUGCAUGAAGCUGGAAUUACUAGUAAUCGUGGAUCAGCGUGCCACGGUGAAUGCGUUCCCGGGUCUUGUACACACCGCCCGUCACACCAUGGGAGUUGGUUCUACCUUAAGGCAAGGUUUCAUACCCUUGACCACGGUAUAGUCAGCGACUGGGGUGAAGUCGUAACAAGGUAACC
This 1435-nucleotide ribosomal RNA is filed under the name uncultured marine bacterium. RNAcentral describes it as "bacterial SSU rRNA". It matches the Rfam family "Bacterial small subunit ribosomal RNA". The record is from RNAcentral.